Mauremys mutica (yellowpond turtle) is the source of this 850-nucleotide long non-coding RNA. RefSeq lists it as uncharacterized. The record is from RefSeq and is a predicted model, not a curated record. The transcript is spliced from 3 exons. Lineage: Eukaryota; Metazoa; Chordata; Testudines; Geoemydidae.
AGGAACCAGCAGAAGCUAGUUUGGUUUAAUUUCUCAAUCCAGUGUGGGAGUUGAGCAGGUAUGCUAGCUGAUGGUAGCAGGUCAUCAGUACUGUUCUUUUCCUAAUGAAAAGAAAGCCAGUAGUGACAAAAGGCUGCAACCAAGACUGGGAAUCCAUUGUGGUAGGCAAACACAGUAAGGGAGAUGCUCCCGAGAAGAGUUUUUAUAAUCUAAGUAGACACUGGAGACAAAGGAUGGGGGACAGAGGGAAGCCAGUAACUGAAUGGACUUGCAUCUAUCCUCUCUUCCAAGAGAGAGUACCUGCAGUGUCGGGCUGAGGCACCUUACUUGGUAGGAAAGUGUGAAGAAGCUGCCCUGCAUCUGCCCAUACUAUAUCUGUCCAUGGAGGUUGUCAUGCUCCGGCCUGUCAGUCCUGCACCUUUCCUGGGUAUGACAUUCUCAUGAAUGCUUCAACAAAAUUUGGAAAGCUGCUUGUCCAACCAUUGCAGUAGAGCAGGGCAAUAGUAAAGCAAUGCAACUGUGGAUCCUUGACGGAAGUAUUGACCACACAGAAAAGUGGUACUUCAUGCUGAUUUCAUUCGAGUCAAGCAGUGGCAUGUUCACAAGUGUGUAGUGGCACUUCAAGCCCACACAAAUUAAGAGGUUCCCUCGCUCAUAAUUUUCUCCAACAUUUUACGGGAAUAUGGGGGCUAAGUGGCUGCAGUAUGUUUCUGUCCAUCCAAUCAAUAAAUCUGUUUUGUAGGUGCAAUUAACUCAUCUUUAUGAGCUAAAGAUUCUGACAAGACUUGUCAAAUUUGGCAGAGGAGGUUUGAGUUAAGAUCUACUCAGAAUAAUUGUCUUUAGCACAGAC